Neofusicoccum parvum is the source of this 223-nucleotide small nucleolar RNA. It matches the Rfam family "Fungal small nucleolar RNA U3". Rfam says of the family: Small nucleolar RNAs (snoRNAs) are involved in the processing and modification of rRNA in the nucleolus. There are two main classes of snoRNAs: the box C/D class, and the box H/ACA class. U3 snoRNA is a member of the box C/D class. The record is from Rfam. Lineage: Eukaryota; Fungi; Ascomycota; Dothideomycetes; Botryosphaeriales; Botryosphaeriaceae.
GUCGACUUUACUCAUAGGAUCAUUUCUAUAGUAAACGUCCUCUUCUGAGCUCCUUACCAGAGCCACAGAAUCUCCAACCUGGCUGAUGAGCGCAUAUCCCCGACGCCCUAGAGUGAGGCCUUUGUGCGCCGGCUUCGGCUGGCGCGGCGAUGAUCUCGACCCUGCCGGGUGCCUUGACUUCGGUCGGCCUGGCUGGGUGGGCGUUGGCGGUCGUCUGACAGGC